This 467-nucleotide ribosomal RNA is filed under the name uncultured bacterium. RNAcentral's name for it is "partial 16S ribosomal RNA". It matches the Rfam family "Bacterial small subunit ribosomal RNA", at positions 28 to 507 of the family's 1533-position model. The record is from RNAcentral.
GAUGAACGCUGGCGGCGUGCUUAACACAUGCAAGUCGAACGGAAAGGCCCAAGCUUGCUUGGGUACUCGAGUGGCGAACGGGUGAGUAACACGUGGGUGAUCUGCCCUGCACUUCGGGAUAAGCCUGGGAAACUGGGUCUAAUACCGGAUAGGACCACUUCUUGGAUGUUGUGGUGGAAAGUUUUUUCGGUGUGGGAUGAGCUCGCGGCCUAUCAGCUUGUUGGUGGGGUAAUGGCCUACCAAGGCGUCGACGGGUAGCCGGCCUGGGAGGGUGUACGGCCACAUUGGGACUGAGAUACGGCCCAGACUCCUACGGGAGGCAGCAGUGGGGAAUAGUGCACAAUGGGCGCAAGCCUGAUGCAGCGACGCCGCGUGGGGGAUGACGGCCUUCGGGUUGGAAACUCCUUUCGCUAGGGACGAAGCGUUUUGUGACGGUACCUGGAGAAGAAGCACCGGCUAACUACGUG